GUGACUCGCAGUCACAGGUAUGCUUGAGCAGGUGGCUUGCAGUCACAGGUAGCUUGAGUAGGUGACAGUUUUCCAUACUCCAUAGUACCCCUAUGACAUAUUUUCUACAAACAGUGAAGUCUGCGGAGGCAGCGAGGGAUUGAGGUCAAGGGUUUUGCGGGGUGUAAUUAACUUAUUGUAUGACGUAUACAAAAAUCAAAUGCUUAUUAUGUUUGUAGCUUUUGAUAUCUGUUGCUACUUUUGAUGAUUUUGCAGCCAAUAGAUGCUCCUCGAUCUGGUAUGGAUUACCCAUCUGGAGUUGGACCUAGCAGGCAAAUGAAAGCUGAUGACAACCCAGGACACAGUUUGACAUCACUUUCUUGUUCAAGGCUGAAGAAUGAAUUAUAUGUCUCUGCAAAGGAAGCAUUGUUUGAUCAUUUCAAAGAAGUGGUUGCAGAGGAAAUAACAAAAGUAUUGUGCCCUCAGUAUGAUGGUAUUAUUAGUCAGGAACCAGCAGAUACAUGUGAAUCUAUGGAUAGGAGUAGGACACCGCCACAUGUUUCUCAAAUGACUACAUGUGAAGCAUCUAGUUUAGCCGCAGUACAGAAUAAUUCACCUUAUUUGGCACUUACUGGCAAAGCGCGAGUCAUAUCACCAUGGUACGACUUGCUGACGAUCCUUCCGAACAAGUGGAAGAUUUCCUGUCAGGUAAUCACACUAGUGAGCGUUUUGGCGCCUGUUAUGUUGCUCCUGUAAAGAGCAUUCAGGAGACGAGGAAGAAGGACAUGAUAGUGGAUCUCAACGACAAUUUCCAUUUCAAUACUCAACAAUGCGUGGAACAUUUUUCCUCCAGUGGGAUAAGGGAAAGCAGACAAUAUAAUAUUAAACGGAAGCCUCUUAUUUUUCCAAAUGGGAAGCGUCCAAGUGAUUAUGCAUCAAAAACCAAUUUUGAUACUUCUCCCACAAGUCCGCUGAAGAAAAAAGGACGUACGAAGCUGAUCGUGGACCUUCUCAAUACAGCUGAGGCUCCUUGUAGAGCUACUACUUCAAAGAGUCGACGAGAUUUCAAGGAAAAGUGUCUGACUUACCGCACAAAAAAGGAAAAUUUCCCGAUUGCAUGCAGAUCAAACAAAAGCGCUCGGACUUCCAUUGAUGGUUGGCAGUGGCGUAACUGGUCACGGAACGCUACUAUAGCGGAGAAAGACGGUGUUAGAGGAUGGAAUGAUACAAAGAAAAUUCUGCGAGUAGAAAAAGCCAGUCCCAAAGAAUGGAGCAUUAGAAAUCACAGUCCAUGCACUGAUGCUCGAGCUUCUCGAGCAAAAGUACGAAACAUGUUGAUGAGUGAUAUACCUCCUGAGUUGGCAAACUAUAUACAGAUGAAGGUGACGAAAAAUCUUUGAAUGCACAAAACAUUUCUCCCUCUGUGUUUGAAUGAUCAACUUUUUUUUUUGCAUGACUUCAUAGGCGAGGAUAAAAAAUUUGCGUGUUGAGAGGAGCAAGAUCCAUGGCUGGGGUGUUCUGACUGUAAAGGAAAUUAAUUGUGAAGAACUUAUUGUGGAGUAUAUUGGGGAAGUGAUAUACAAGUCGGUUUCAGACAAACGUGAACUUGUCUAUGAGAAGUCUGGUAUAUGCGACUACUUCUUCAAGCUUGAUGCCAAUUAUGUGAUUGAUGCUACUCACCGGGGUGGGAUCGCUCGGUACAUUAAUCAUUCUUGUGAGCCAAACUGUGAAACGAAAGUGAUCCGUGUCAAUGGAAAGAAGAAAAUAUUCAUUUUUGCAAAAAACAAGAUUAAGGCGGGUGAAGAGCUUACCUACAAUUAUAAAUUUCCUUUUGAUGAGAUCAAAAUUCCGUGUCUAUGUGGUUCAAAGAGGUGCCGUGGAUCGAUGAACUGAGGAAUGGAGUUGGCAAGGUAUUGCUGGUGGUUCAGAGCAACUCAAUAUUCCAGAUCUCUUGUGUAAAAUCAGUCCGGGUUGACUGGCAGGUUCUUUGAAUGACUUUGCGGCAGGCUUCCGGCCCCAAGAACAUUACUGACAUCAAUUUUUCUUACUGACAUUAUCAACAUCAUGUGUUCUUGUUAUUGUGUUUGUAUGUACUUGCAGCUUAUAUACUUCCUGUUCGCAUGUUGGUGUUUACAUGGUUUUUUUUUACAUCACAUGACAAUACUGCACGGACACUAAAUGAUUUAGUGGCAGGUUUAUAAUUUUGCAUUUAGGCUUUGUCUAAUUUUUUACGUAUAUGAUAACUCAAGUAACAUUAAUCUUGUGAAUACAAAUACACCCUACUAGCAUAUCGAUAUGUUUAUGUUUAUGAAAUUAACAUAAAGGAGUUGUUUGUAGCAAUGUAGCACCAUGGUACCACCCAUCUGGACUCAUAGGCAGCAGGUGCCAUUGUCCAUAUCCAUUUGAUAACAUUGUAUCUUUAUUUGGUUUUGUAUGGACCAUUGAAUUGAUGGUAUGCCAAUCAGUCCAUUGCUCCAUCUGCCUCGGUAGCAAUCAACCAUGGAUCUGUGCCACAAGAACGGUUACUCAUGCCUUGCAGAACAAUUCCUAGGCUAGAGACAUCACUGGUACACAUACCAAGCCCAUCUUGGCCGAGUACCUCAUGCUCUGGAGCCUGAUCAGCGUCACACCCCCUGCCGCUGCCAGGAUGACGUUGUCCUU
Long non-coding RNA from Aegilops tauschii subsp. strangulata, 2640 nucleotides. RefSeq lists it as uncharacterized. NCBI's taxonomy places the organism in Eukaryota, Viridiplantae, Streptophyta, Magnoliopsida, Poales, Poaceae. The record is from RefSeq and is a predicted model, not a curated record.